RNAcentral lists this long non-coding RNA (15201 nucleotides) under Lactuca sativa (garden lettuce). Its description in RNAcentral is "long non-coding RNA (LSAT_LNC005708)". Lineage: Eukaryota; Viridiplantae; Streptophyta; Magnoliopsida; Asterales; Asteraceae. The record is from RNAcentral.
GCAAAGUGGGGAUGAAGAUGACUCCGAUGGCCACCAAGACUCAAAGUGCACACGCCACGUGAAUCCACGUUUUCACAUGUUUCUUUUAUAUAUAUAUAUAUAAUCUUUUUUCUAAUGUAAAUUUAAGAGGGGAAUUAUGGAUAAGACACAUUGCUUGUGAUCGGCACUAUGAGGAUACGGGUAGCAUUGUUCGUCAUUUUGUAGACGUUGGACUGUCCAACAAUUUUCUGAUGCGAGGAACUGUGUGUAGGAUUGUUUGUUUCGGUUUUCAUGCGAGCGAGUGGUAUGGCGUACACGAGUUUUAUAAGUAAUUAACAAGAGUGAGUUUGGAAGGUUGAUCUUCGCGGAUAGAAGAGAUGGUAUAUUUUCAACGGGUUAGGCCUCCUGGAACCCUAAUGCAUCGUUGCUAGAGCAUAUGUCUUGUAUGUUUAUAUCAAAAUACAAUAGCUGAAUAAAUUCUUUUAUGCUGGUAGAAUUAAGGAAGCAUGAUAAGUCCGUGCUCCACAUUCUAGCUAUAUCAUUGGUUUUCAAGAAAUGAACUUUAAAAAUCACUAACAUAAGAGAAAGGUAAGAUAACUCUUUAUGGUCUUAACUAAAAGUGUGGGAGGCCCAAGUCUACAUACAUGUCUUGGAUCAAUGGAAUCCGUUUGGGAAAGAAUAUCAUGAUUAGUCUCGUUGCCAUUGCUACUGUCUUUGAAAUUAUAUAUAUCCUCUAUUUGUCAUGCUUAGUUAUUCACGAGGGACAAACAAAACCACGUUCGUGUGUAUGUUUUGGGUCUUCAAUCACAAGAGUUUCACAUGUGUAGUUAUUCACGAGGGACAAACAAAACCACAUGUGUGUACGUUUUGGGUCUUCAAUCACAAGAGUUUCACAUGUGUUGAAAUGUUUGAUUGUGAGGGACAAACAAAACCACAUUUAGGUGAAUUUAGAUCUGAACGGCGGGUCGCCAAUAAGGUUGGAUCCAAAACAAUUCUGGUUGAGGGAAAUUGUAUGCCAAGAUCCGGAAUAAGGAUACACAAACUUGAACAAAUUAUGAAGGGAAGAAUGUUAGAAAUUACUAAUCAUUAGCGGAUACGUUAGAAGGUAUUUCAAAAUUACUACCUUUGUCUCCUAUUUAUUGUCAAAUUUUGACUUUUGAAGUCUUUAUUCUUCAAAUUUGACCUUAAAUAUUUUUGUUUUUGAUAUGUAACACUUAAUGCAAAAUAUAUGAAUGGAUUGUGUUUUAAAUAUCUUUUUAUUGUUAUAAGUUUUAUCAAGUAAUCUAUAACACAAAUAAAAAUAUUUAAGGUCAAAGUAAAAAAAUAAAAACUUCACAAAUAAAAAAUAAACAAUAAAUAUGAAACGGAGGAAGUAUUAAAUUACAUAACAUAAAUAUUACAUUAUUAGAGUUUAAUUAACCGCCUAAUGUUUUUUUGACUAUAAAAUAUGGUUGGUCUCCCACAUACAUACACUGGACACAACAAUUUCUUGUUGAGGAAGAUAAUCACAAGUUGUUUCAAGUUCAUCAUCGAAGUUCCACGUCAAGAAGACAACAUAAAUAAUGGAUUCAGGUAUAGGUUUCGUUUAGAUGUACACUAUUAUGGAUAUGAAGGUGGAUAAAUACUUUAUAUUAUAUUGUUUUUGGGAUAUUGGCCAUUAGUUGUGAUUUGAUCAUUUAAUGAAUAUAUUUUAAAAGUAUUGGUUUAUUAUAUACAUUUAUUUUCUUUUUUAAAUUGACAUAACAAUAGAAAAUUUAUUUAUAUUUAUUUGAUCAUUAUAGGAAUCUUCCUUCUUUCUUAAUCUAAUAAAUAAUUAAACCAAGAACCAUAGCUUCUAUGUAUUGGGAUGUUUUUAAAAUAAAUCUUUUUGAUAUAUUUUCAUAAAAUUGUAUACUUUAUUUUAUGGGUGUUCGUUUGGAUGGAUCGGUUUGAUCUAAUCCAAUCAAGUGAAUCCAAAUUAAUUUUGGUUUUCAAAACAUGGAUCCGAAUAGUCCAAACUAAAUUCAAAUCCGAUCCGAUCCAAUCCAAUUACAAUUCGGUUGGAUCGGUUUUUAUAAUUCGGUUUUCAAAAACCGAAACAUUUUAAAACGACAUAUAAUUAUAAUAUUAUCCAACUUUACACAAGAAGCGAAAACAAAUUAUUUAGUUGUGAUUUGAAAUUUAUAAACAAUUACUAAGAAUAAAUAUUAUAGUUAUAUAUUUUAUAGAUUGAAAACUUUUGAGAGAAAAUGCAUAUUAAUGUUUUUUUAUCGGGUUAAACGUUUUGAACAUAUUUAAAAAAAUAAAUUACAAAAUUAAUAAAUAAAUAUAGGUAUAUAUUAUAAAUAAAUAAAUAAUAAAUGUUUAUUUGGUUUUUUGGACUAUUCGGUUCUUAUUUUAUAAACCAAAACCCAUCCGAAAUCCAAAAUAAUAAUUCGGUUUUGUUGAAAACCAAUCCAAAAAUCCGAAUAUCCGAAUUAAAUAGUCUAAUCCAAAUUGUCCAAUUGAACAAUUCGGUUUUAUCCAAAUAGUGAACAACACUACUUUAUUCUUUGUAUUUUGUUUUUGUUUUAGCGUCAUACUAGUUGGUUAAUAAAGCUGCCGUUCAAAAAAAGAUUACCGAACCAUUUGAAAGACAUCAACGUUUGGAGUUUUUCAAGAAAUGCUUUUUGGCUAAGAAUUUUUUUUCUUUUGUAGUAAUCCCUUUAUUUGAUAUUUUUUGUAAGGAUGAACAUAAUAACCGAAAAAUCGAACCAUAACCAAAUUAACCGAUAUAACCGAACCAUAAUAACCAAACAAUUUUAAAAACCAUUGGUUCGGUUUCUAAUUUUUGUUAACCGGUAACAAACAGUUCGGUUAUGGUUUUAUAGGUUAACCGAAUCAUUAUUAACCAAAUCACUAACUUUAUAUUUUAGUGAAUAAAAAUUAUGGAUUAUAUAAUAAUAAUAAUAAUAAUAAUAAUAAUAAUAAUAAUAAUAAUAAUAAUAAUAAUAAUAAUAAUAAUAUAGCCAAACUUAUUUAAGACCCAUUAAAUUUUCAAAAUAUAAUUCAUUAAUCUUCACUUAUCAAGAGACGAACAUACAAUCAAACCAUCAAAGGAUGAUCACGUAGAUCAUGCAGAUACACACAGUUUUCCAAUCAUGCAUUGAGUUAGAUUAUUGAUUAAUGUUGUAAUUCCUAAUCGACUAAUUCUAUAACUUGUAAACAUUAUUCAUAAUUAGUUUAAUCUUCACACUCAUAAUCCUAAUCGGAGGCUUCUCACACCGUUAAUCCUAAUAAAAAAUUGUUUUGCCUUUAUAGUUCUAUUUGAAGGAUUUUUUAAUUUAUAAUCAAAACUUCUAGGUAAGUUAAGUUUUUUAGUUCUUCUUCAUUUUAUGAUAUAUUAAGAAUGUAUUUUUUCUAAAAAAAUUGCUUUUUUAUUUACAGUUUUGGACUUAAUCACAUUGAAUGUAUAUGAGUGAUUGUUCUUUUAUCCAGAUAACAUGUAAUAUAAAUGUUUAGUUAUUUUAUUUUAUAGUUUUUGAUUUAAUCUCAUUGAACAUAUAUGAAUGUUUGGCUUUAUUUUAAUGUUAAUAUUAAUUAUCAAUAUAUGAAGUUAUUAAUGUCAAUUUUUUUUAUACUUUUUAUUGAAUGUUUUUUAUUUUGAAUGUGACUAUGUUUUAUCUCACUCUGAGUAUCAAAGGUACACAUUUUAUUCUAUUACUAUAAGCUAGGUUACAAACAUUGGUGCCGAUGACUUUUUGUAUUCUCUUUUAAUUUUUUAUGCUACUAUACUUUCGCCAUUUAUAUUAUUUUGAACAUUAUGGUUAACCAAUAUUAAUCAUUAACCAAAACUGUUAACAGACAAAAACCAUUAACCAUAACCAAUAUUAACCAUACCCAAUGGCUACCAAAAUUCAUUAACCAAUCAUAAUGGUUAUGGUUCGGUUUUGACCAAUAACCGAACCAAACCGCCCCAUACACACCUCUAAUUUUUUGAUCUUUUGUGUAACUUGGAUCAUACGUGCAUCCUUAAUUAACUUGUAUCGUAUAAGAGAGAUAACGCAUGUCAAAAUUCCUUUUACCAAAUAAAGAUAUAAAUGUUUAUGAGAUGAUAUGUUAAGACAACGUUGAUGGUCGUUUGAGAUUUUAUGUGUAAUGCAAUUGUAUUUAAUAUCUGGUUUAAGAACACCAUUAACACUAGAAACGUUUUGUGAGGAAGGUUUAAACAUUAAGGCAAUGACACCAUCUUUCGUCAUUAUGUGAAUAAUAUAACCUUUUUUAUUUCUACAUAUUAUGGUUUAUUUCCUAAGGAAAUCUAAAGUGAAGUCUAGUUUGACUUCGUUAAAGAUAUAUUUAUCACCAAAGAUUUGGUCACAAAAUAUGUUAUUUGCUUUAAAAGAUCUUUUCUAAAUCCUAUUGGAAGAUGUUAUUGCCGCAAAAUAUAUGUUACAUUCGAUUCUCGGUAUGGUGUGUUUUGAUUAAGUCUUUGAUUUUGUCCAUAUGAGACCUGACUUUGUGGUGGUUGGAGCAUGGUGCGCUUCUUGGAGGGCAUGAUGCACUACCACGUGGCAUAACAUGCUUCACUGCCACGUGGCAUAACAUGCUGCACUUCAUUUAGGGCGUGACACGCCUUAGCUAGAAUGUGAGGCCCUAAUUCUUGGGUGUUGAACCCUAUUUAAAUGCAACAAACCCUAUAGAUUGCCUCAUUUGGUCUCUUUUGUUCCAUUUCUCAUAUCUAUAUAUAUAUANNNNNNNNNNNNNNNNNNNNNNNNNNNNNNNNNNNNNNNNNNNNNNNNNNNNNNNNNNNNNNNNNNNNNNNNNNNNNNNNNNNNNNNNNNNNNNNNNNNNNNNNNNNNNNNNNNNNNNNNNNNNNNNNNNNNNNNNNNNNNNNNNNNNNNNNNNNNNNNNNNNNNNNNNNNNNNNNNNNNNNNNNNNNNNNNNNNNNNNNNNNNNNNNNNNNNNNNNNNNNNNNNNNNNNNNNNNNNNCUUGAGGUUUGACAUUGCCGCCAAGUCACGCCUUACGUUAUUUAGAACCUUGUAUAUAUAUAUAUAUAUAUAUAUAUAUAAUUUUAUAGAUUUCAGGUGCAAGUGAUAUUUGUGUGAAAUCUUACAUCGAAACAUAAUAAAUAGGGCUAAAAUAUAAAUAAAAAAUAAAAGAUUAUUCAGAUAAAUCGAAAAAGCGAACUCGUGCCGCCAAAUCUGACUUCGUGAAAGGAAAUUAUGAUUUUUCGAAGUUUUAGUAUAGCAAUAUAUGACUCAAAAACCGAAUUUGAAAUCGGUCGAUUAUUAGGAAAAAAAUCUAAGCGAGAGUUGAAGUUCUCGUUAAUACUUAUCCGUCAAUAUAAAGACAGUCGAGAAUAGAUAUCUUAUAAGAAAAUUAUGAUUUUUGCACGAACUUUAGCCGUCUAAGCUUGUAAAAAAUGUAGCUUUAAAAAUAUAUUGAGAAUUAGAUGAAAUAGUCUAAAUGAAAGUUGUAGAUCUCUUCGGUCACUACACAUGGAUAUAAAGAACGUUGAAAGCGGAACCCGUAUGAAGAAGAUAUGAUUUUUUCCAAGAAAUUUAAGUUACCGCGUGCGCGAACUUAGGUCGCGGCGCACACCGAUAUAGACAUGAAUCCCCACCAGUUUUCCCCAUGUGUUAGGCUAGGAACCUUCCACGUCACCUCUUCCAACACUGUAUGCGACACACACAUACAUAGCACUCGACACGCCCUGAUUUCCAGCUCUAUAAAUUGUCCGUUUUCCGCUCAUUCUCUCCAUACUUUUCCUCCAAACCUCUCUGGAAUACUCUCCACUCUCGAGCCCUUUACUCUGUAGUUCUCGGCCACUUUAGUGAGGCCUUGAGGUGACUAAUAGCCGAAGAAUAAAAAUUUAUUGGGUCAGAAUUCUGGCCGCAUAAUUCUCAGUUUUCACUAGAAUAUUCUAUAAGUUGAGCUACACUUACUCUGCUUUAAGUGUAACUUGUAAUUAUAGUCAUAGUCGCUGUUAUGAACCUAUAACUAAGAUUUUUCAGUGAUUCGAAGUUGUUAUACCGAUUUAUCUACUUACAUGAGUGAUUUCUAUCCUGGAUUUAAUGGGGUGUUUAAAGUGGGAUUUCCAAAUAGUAUACUCUGUAUACCAAACAGACCCUACCUCUAAUAUGAUGCUAACUAGUUAUUCCUUAUUUGAAGAUCUUGAUGUAUACAUUGAGAUUAUUGAGGAAUCUAGAUUUUAUAUUAUAGUCACAAGAAAUAUGAAAAUAGACUAAGACUUAGUGCUAUAUACAUCUAGGUCUUUUGAAAGGAUAGAGUGUUAAGGCAAAGCGCUUCCCUAACCACUAGUCACCUACUUUUGUGAGUUGAAUGGUAGUUACUUUCAAGAGCAUAAUUUAAUAAAAGUAUUUAUUAAAUGCUAAUUGUAAUAAUUGUACUAUGUGCUAUUUUUAUACAAUAAUAGUACUACUUAUCAGAAACUGUGUUAGGAUCAAAUUUCCUUUAGAUAUAGUUUGGGAUACUUAUAGACUUAAAAAGGGUAAAUAGGUUCCAAAUAAGUUGAACAUUGAAUAGGCCUCAUUUUGAUGGUAGCGUGUGAGAUCAGAAUGGAGCGUAGUAGUCCUCCUCUUUUUGGAUGACCAAAAAUGGUGGGUCCAGAUCAAACAACUGGAAAGUAUGUAUGGUUCAUUGACCAGAGUAGAUGACAACACUUGAACAUUCUAGGCGGUCUAGUGAAUUACGUGGAUAGUGUGGACUUAUAACCCACGAACGUAGGUAGAAUGGGAUACCAUAUCUAUCAAUUACUCUAAACAUUGGUUUCCUUUAUAUGACUUAUAAUGGCCACGGAAUCCUUACCUAUGUAGUUAAGCAGUUGCUCAAACGAUUCAUCAAGUUGGGUGAUUCCUCCCAAUAACCGUUGCUUUAGGAUUUAUGAGAAUCAAUUGGGCAGGGUAAGUGGUCUUAUGUCAUAUAUACCUAUAAUGUUUGUUGCAGGAAUGUUAUUAUAUAUUAUCAUUAAUAUAUUAUGGGCAUGAAAACCUUAUGCAUCUCGCCAGGUUUCCAAAAACUGACCCACUAAUUUUAUGUGCAUCAUAAGUAGCAGAUGUAAGGUUGCCGAAGUCUAAUUAGGAUGCCGAGUGAAAUAAGAGAUGUGUGUGUAAUAAUAUUUCAUGACCUUUUUACUUUUAUGCCGUAAUGUAUAUUAGGAUAUGAAUGAUGACAUCCUUGAAGUUUUAAUAUAAUGAAAAAAAACUUAUGUUAUCUCAAAAUGCACUACUAGAAAAAGGGUCUUUUACGACGCGCAAAAUACGAUGCUCAUUGAUCUAUGUUACGCAAGAGAGAGUGACAUUAGAAAAAUGUCAUCUCUUCAAAAAAUUUAAGUAUAUAUGUCGCGUUUUAUUGAGUGCCCUUAGAGGUAGUGUCUAAUGUAAAAAACUUAAAAACACGGAGGGCACUUAAUGUAAAAUGUGCGCCGUCUCAAUGAAUGUCGCAUUAUAAUUUUAGUGAAAGGCGUGCGUCUCUUCACAAAAAUCGAGGUUACUAAUAAAAUAUCUAACACUCACUAUUCAUCAGUCACUUCACUCUCUACGAUUCUAUCGACUCUGAGACCUCGACUCGCCUCCCCUUGCAGACAACGUCUCCUCCUCCGAUCGUUAGGUUACUUCUCCUCUGGCUGAUUUCGCCUCGCCGACGACCGUGGGCUCACCUGACAUCAUUGGAGACUGCUUACGUGCGCUAGGUCCGAUUAAGGUGUUCUUGUUGAACCGAUUUAGGACAAGUGAACUUCCCGGUUGGCCAGAGAACGCUGUAACAGAAGAGAAAGAGCAGAAGAAAGUCGACACAAGGGGAAGAAGCGCCUGGUAGCCAUGAAUCUGAUGCUAAGUUGAACACAUUCAAGGGUUUCUCACCUACUGAAGCUUCUCAAGUCGAACACAAGGUAAAAUCUCAAGCUUCUCAAGUUAUAUGUAAUGUUUUUAUCCCCUUCUUUCAUCUUGCGAACAUUUUCUCUGCUUUUUAUCCCAAACUUUCACCUUGUCCUCAAGGUGAAGAAAGGAUUGGCUAACCGUGUAUGUAUAAUGUUAGUGGCCUAAGAAAUGAGACGAAAAAUCCCUCAAAAUACUCUUAAUCAAACUCCCCUGUGAGAUGUUUCUCUUCAGGUUCUUCGAACCCUGGUCUGGUAGAACGUAAUUUGUUUGUUUUCUGAUUGUACUUAUGAAAUUAUGAGCGUCGUCUUCCUUUAUGACAUGGCCUUCCUUGACACGCAUUGCGUAUCAUAAGCGCGCGUCGUCUAUAGACGACGCACAUUUGAGCGUCAUCUUCCUUUAUGACAUGGCCUUCCUUGACACGCAUUGCGUAUCAUAAGAGAGCGUCGUAAAUGCGCUUCGUCUAUAGACGACGCGCAUUUGCGCGUCGUCUAUAUUUAUGACAUGGCCUUCCUUGACACGCAUUUGCGCGUCGUCUGAGCCUUUUACGACGCGCAAUGAGCGUCGUAAAAGGCCUUUUUUCUAGUAGUGAUGUUUUAUUACACUGGGAAUUUCUGUAUCUCAAUUUAUUAAAGUGUAAAUAAAAAAGUUUUAAUUUGUUCAGAAAAUUUGGGGGAUCUCACAGUUGGUAUCAGACCAUUAGUUUAAGCGAACUAGGAAUUUUUCUAGACUUCUAGACUUACACUUAGAAGUUAUGUACAAAUGGUGAGACGUGUGAUAGAUUACUUUAGGAUAAAUGGCUAGUUUUCUAUAGACAAAAACACUAUUAUACUAUAAGAAGAUGCCUUAACUACUAUUAUGUGCUAAAUGUAUAUAUAAUUAUAUAUAGUAAGUAAUAUAUUGUCCCUAUGACUAUAGAACGAUAUGAUGAUCACAAGGAGCGGUAGAGUAGCCAAUAAUGAAGGAGGUCCGAUACCUUAGAACGUCAGAGCAGGAGCUGCUCAACUCACCAUAAGAGAAGCUUGAGAAACGAUGCAAGAUCUUCGCGAUGACGAAUGUUGUAAGUUUAUGAAUCUCCUAACUCAAGAGCUAGUGAAUUCUAGAGGCGGUACGCCAGUGGUCAAUGAACCGAUAGUCACUGAGCAAGUCAACAAUGCACCAGUUCCCUCUCGUCCAAAGACGGUCCAGGAAGAUAAUGAUGACUAUGAAAGUCAUCAAGGACCACUCCCUCCUCCGGAAGACUUAGAGAUCCAAAGGAAUGAUGAACCCAAUAGCUAUUGCAAGUAUAAAGAUUUCAUGACUUGGAAGCCACCAUCAUUUAACGGGAAGGAGGAUCCGGUGGGAGUAGUGGACUUGAUCUCGGAAAUGGUGCUAGCUUUCGUGACACGAGGUUGCACUGGCAAGAUUCAAACCACCUACACUAUGAGAAAAUUUAAGGGUGCAGAGAUCCGUUGGUGGAGUAUGUUGGAAAAAAUGUUAAUCCCUAACAAGCCAUUGCAACUAAUGUAGGAAGAGUUUCUGACCCACUUCAAGAACAAGUUUUGUUCGGUUGAAUAUAUGUUGGAGUUGGAGAAUCAACUCCUAACAUUGAUAAAGGGAAGCAUAAUGGUUGAGAGUAACCCAAUGCUUUGACGGAUAAAAUGGAGUUUGCACUGCGUUUAGUCCCCGACGAACUAGCCAUUAUUCGUAGGUACUCUAAAGGAUUACCACGAGAGAAUUCUGUGCUGGUUAAGUAGGCAUUGACUUUUGAGGCAGAUAUCUGGGUUGCGAAUUAUGUGGAGAAUAUGAUUAAGAAGAGGACUGAUGACAGAGCUGAAUUCAGUGAAAAGAGGAAAGAUGAUGGGUCCUUAGGAAACAACAAAAACAACAAGAAGAAGCAUUUUAGCGAUUGUGUCGUCUCUUAUAAAUGCAAGAAGUCGGGGCAUAUCUCUAAAAACUAACCAGUAAAAGGAAAGAUUUGCUUCACUUGCGAGGAUGAAGAGAACAUGAAGGCGGAGUGCCCAAAUUCUGAAAAGCCAACCCCAAGGAUCCUACCAGCAAAACCCAAGGGUCAAAGCUACCAAAUGACCCUCAAUAAAUCAAAGGAAGAGACUGGCAUUGCUUCAAGUACAUUCCUAGUGAAUCAAAUUCUUGCCAAGAAUUUAUUUGAUUUAGGAGCAAAUCAUUCCUUUAUAUCGCAUGAAUUUGGUAGAAAGCCUAAGCUAUCACCACUUAGACUAAAUAUCCUUAUUUUAAUAAAAGAAGUUGGUGGUAGGAAUGUAUCUAUUGGAAAUAGGUUAGAGGCCGUAAGCAUUGACUUAAACGGAAACGAAUUUCAUAGAGAGCUAUUAGCUUUCGAGUUGAGUGAGUUCGAUGUAAUUCUCGGCAUGGACUGGUUGGGAAAAAACCUUGCGGACAUCUUUUAUGGAAGGAAGAUGGUGCACAUAAGUCUACCUGCAAGAUAGCAAUUCAUCAUAUACGGAGAUAAGAGUAGAGUGAAGUCUGGAGUCAUCAUGAUGAUGAAAUCCAGAAGAUGCCUAUCUAAGGGAUGUUCAACAUUCUUGGCAUAUGUGAUCGACACAAAGAAGGAAAAAAUGGAAAUGACAUGAUAUACCUAUAGUGGGAGAUUUUCCUGAGGUAUUUCAGAUGACAUACCCGGAUUACUACCAAAGAGGCAGGUAGAAUUCAGAAUCAAGUUAUCGCCAUGUAUGAUGCCAAUUGCAAAAGCAUCAUAUUGUUUAGCGCCUACGCCAAUGAAAGAGUUGAUGAAAAACUCUAGGAGUUGUUGGACAAAGGUUUUAUAAGAGUUAGUUCAUCACCCUAUGGAGCUCCCAUACUAUUCGUAAAGAAGAAGGAUGGUAUGAUGAGAAUGUGCAUUGAUUAUCGAGAGCUAAACAAGGAUAUGAUAAAGAAUUAAUACCCCUACGUAGGAUAUAUGACUUGUUUGACCAAUUACACGGUGCAACCAUCUUCUCUAAGAUUGAUCUCAGGUCAGACUAUCAUCAGUUUAAGAUAAGGGAGCAAGACAUUGAAAAGAUAGCAUUUAGAAUAAGGUAUUAACACUAUGAAUUCAUUGUUAUGUCCUUUGGACUAACACAUGCUCCAACAACAUUCAUGUAUUUGAUGCAUCAAGUUUGUAAACCUUUUCUCGAUAAAUCAGUAAUAGUGUUUAUUGAUGAUAUCCUGUUUUGAUCCAAUAAUAAUCAAGAUCAAAGUAAAAAUCAUCGAUAUGUAUUAGAAGUCCUAAAGAAGGAUAAGUUGUAUGCAAAGUUCUCCAAGUGCAACUUUUGGAUUCAGGAGAUAUAAUUCUUAGGUCAUGUGGUUAGACAGAAGGGCAUAAUGGUCGACCCAUCAAAGAUAGAAGCUGUUGUGAAAUAGGAGACGCCAAAGAGUCCCACUUAAAUUCGUAGUUUUAUGGGAUUGGUGGGUUACUAUUGAAUAUUCAUCCAUAACUUUUCUUCUAUUUCGGCUCCACUGACAGCCCUGGCCGAAAGUACCAAUUCUUAUCAUACCAGAAGGAACUAAUGACUUUGGCAGUUUUCAGUGGUGCUUCUGGAGUUAUAUUGGGAUGCAUCCUUACCUAAAGAGACAAAGUAGUAGCUUACGCCUCAAAACAGUUGAAGCCCUACGAGCAAAACUACGCAACACAUGAUCUAGAUCUUGCAGUAGUGGAUUUUGACCUAAAGAUCUGGAGACAUUUUAUUUAUGGAACCAAUUGCAAAAUAUUUACGGAUCAAAAAAGCCUUCAAUAUCCCUUACAUAGAAGAAAUUGAAUAUGAGCAAGAGAUGAUGGUUGGAGCUACUCAAGGACUAUGAUUGUGAGAUACUAUAGCACCCUGGUAAAGCAAAUAUGAUAGUCGAUGCAUUGAGUAGAAAGGUAAAUCCCGAACGGAAAAGAGCUAGAUAGUUGAAGAUAGAGAUGAUUUCAACGAUUGUAGAAAAGAUCAAAGAAGCUCAGACUUGAGCAUUAAUUGAAGGUGCGAAGAAAGAAGAGCAUAUUGGCAAGAAAUUAGUGUUUGAAGAGAGCAAUCAAGGGUUUAAGACAUUCCAAAAUCACAUUUGGAUGCCAAAUCCUACUACUUGUGGCCAACUAUGAAGAUCGAUGUAGCAACUUACGUAGUAGAAUGUGUGACUUUUGCAAGAGUAAAACCAUAAAAUCAGAAGCCACAUGGAGAAUUGGAACCUCUACCAGCACCCAUUCGUAAGUGGAUGGCAUUACCAUGUAUUUCAUAACUAAGUUGCCAACGACAGAGAAGGGCCAUGGCAUGAUUUGGGUUAGAGUAGGCCGAUUGAAAAAGAAUGCGUAUUCCAUAGCCGCACAAGAAAAUUGGUCUAUGGAGAAGUUGGCAAAAACCUACGUGAAGGUGAUUUUCAAAAUUCUUGGAGUACCCUUAUCGACCGUGUUAGACAAUGACAAUUGAUUUACUUCCAGGUUCUGCCUAUCAUCCACAAACGGAUGGACAGAGCGAAAAAAGUAUCCAAACUUUAUAGGAUAUGUUUCAGGCAUGUACAUUAGAAUUCACGGGUAGCUGGGAUGAUCACCUACCAUUAGCAUAAUUCACCUACAACAAUAGCUAUCACUUAAGCAUGAUGCCUCCUUACGAAGCAUUGUACGGAAGGAAUUGUCGUACACCAUCUUAUUGGUUAGAAGCAGGAGAAAAUACUUUUUGGGUCAUGAGAUGGUUCAACUGACCACUGAUAAAGCAAAGAUCAUUCGAGAAAGUGUGCUAGAUACUCAAAGUUGCCAAAAGAGCUAUGCAUAUAAGAAGCAAAGACAUGUAACGUUUGAGGUCGGCAAUCGAGUAUUACUUAAAGUCUCUCCGUGGAAGGGAUUAUUCAAUUCGGAAAACAUGGGAAGUUGAGUCCUCAUUUUAUUGGUCCAUUUAAAGUAAUUCAGAAGAUUGGAAAACAAGCUUAACUUUGAACCCUCAUUAAGCCAAGAAUUAAGGUCCUUAGGUUAAAUUGAAUUUCACAUCUCAAUAGCCUAAUAAGUAACCAACAAUCAUAUAAAAAGUGAAAAACUUAAUGCUUAACCAUUAAGUCCUUAAUAGAACACCAAAAGUGAUUUAAAAGCUAUUAUGAUCAAUUUUCUCAAAUCUGUCCUCCAACUUCUAAAAUUCGUUCAAGUCAAUAAGAACACCAAACACUCAUGAGACUUAGUUUUCUGGAAAUCUUAGUGUGUCUAGUUUCUUCAAACUUUAAAAUCUCAUUUCGAUAUUCCAAAUCCUUGAGGGGUAAAACUGGAAAUCUUUUCAUAUUGGUCCAUGUUGUCACAAAUUUCAUGCAUUCUAUUCAAAAAAAUUAUAACAAAUUCAUCAGAACUCCAAAUGCCAAGUUUUAAAAGCCUAUAGUUAGAUAUGGAUGUAUAGGUUCCUACAUAUAAAGGGACUGAUGUAAUUCUUAGUAUAUUAGUGCAAUAUAUUCCAAGAGUGUUGAGUUGUAACACUCGGUUUUGAAAGUGUUCGAUUGUGUCUUCGGAGGCCAAGGGUAUAAGCGUAAUCUGACGAUUUGGUAUUUUAUGGGUCUCGGGUCUUAUUCGGAAGGUUGUAGGGCUGGGGUAUGGAGCUGGGAGGGUAGAUUUUCUCAUCACCUUUUUGUGGAUAUGAAGUUCAUAGGAAACAGACUUAGAAAGAAGAAGUUAUAGUAAUUUGAAGAUAUUGGCAUUAUUGGUCCUUAGUAGAGAAAAGUGGCAAGGGGAUCCUAAUCACGCAAGGUGGCCAGCUUAAGAGUACGCCUAACGUAGAGAGGAUAAGUGGUCGCGAGUGUUGGAGACGUACACCCAGCGUAUGCUCAGAGUCCCUAAACCCUAAUUUUUAGGGUUGACUCACUAUUUAAAUCACCUUGAGUCUAAGGGGGUACGCCUCCCUUUCAUUCUCAGUGCCUUAAACCCUAAAUUCGAGUGGUGGCUCCAUCUAAGAGUGUUGUGAACUUUGUGGGUGCAUUUUGGGUGGUUUUUGGUGCAUUUCAAGAAGAUGGAACUUGUUGCAAAGAUGGGAAUCUAGGAGGAGCUUGUGGAUCUGGCAUUUGGGACUCAUUCUCAGCUUGAUGAAGGUAUAAAGUUUUGGUCUUUAUCUUUCAUCUCUUAGAUCUACCAUUGUGAUUUUUAGUUCAUUAUGGUCCCAAGGAUGGAACUUUAUGGUUGAAAUCCGAUCCUUAGGCUUAGCGUUUCCACUCUCUAUGUUAAAUGAGUCCCUAAGGCAAAAAGUUUCCAUCUUGGAGGUAUUAAUGGGUUCAUGCAUGAGUUAAGACGAUUUCCAUGGAAGUAGGUUAUCAUUUUUGAGUUUGAGCUUAUAUGGGUCUUGCAAAGCCAUCAAGUAAGCAGCUUUAUGGUUUACAACGUUGAAGAGGAGUUGGAUCCGUAAUUAUAGCUUCUGGAGUAGAGUAUUAAGCACUCAAAGGAAAAGUCUCUUAACAGAGGAGUAUGUUGGGCGUACAUGUUGGUAUGCGCAACGUACACUCCAUUCAGUCUGUACGCUUAGCGUAUAGAAGAGUACGCCUCGCGUACUCAUCAAUUAUUUAUGGGUUUGGUGUGUUUUGGGCCUCGGGUUGGGUCAAGCAAUGGACUUUGUGUUUUGGGUUUCUUGCUGGGCCAUCAGGUUUGGGAUUAAAAUUUAUUUGUGGAAGCCUAUUAUGGUUUUGAGCCCAAUUUGGAAUUGGGCUAUUAAAGGACUUACGGACAUUAGAGGGUUGGGCUUUGCUUUGGGGUUUGGGCCUUAGUUUUGGAUCAUACUGGGUCAGGGGUAGAAUAGUCAUUUUACCCCCAUGCAUGGAUUCAGGAUUAUGGUAUGGGACCCAAUUGUUAAUUGGGUAUAUUGUUUGGUAGUGACAGCUCGGGAAGCUGGCGGGGCAGCAACUAAAGAAUUCAUGAGGGAAGCUUCUGCAGUGCGAGGUGAGUCUUCUCACCAUACCAAUGGGUCUAAGGCACCAAGUCUGACCCAUUUUAUGAUAGUUGGUAUAAUUGUUGUGUAGAGGUGCGUGGCUUGAGUAGGUGGUAAUAUGCGGUAGAGACAACCUUUAUGGUUAAAGGUAGAGACAACCUUUGUGCCUAACGGUAGAGAUAGCUUGAUAGCUAAUAGAUAUGUGAUACGAGGUAGAGGUAGCUUUCAUAGCUAAUGGAUAUGUGAUAUGUGGUAGAGUUAGCUUUAUAGCUAAUUGAUCUGCAUUAUGUGGUAGAGGUAGCUUUUAUAGCUAAUUGAUAUGUGGUAUGCGGUAGAGAUAGCUUUUAUAGCUGAUAUGAUAUGUUUUUUGUGGAUUGUGUGUGGGGUAUGAUCUGGGGGACUCACUAAACUUUGUGCUUACGGUUUACAGCUUUGGUUUCAGGUAUUUCCGGUAGCGGAGGGAAGAUCUCGGGAUGAUCGCAUGACACACACCAAGAAGUUUUUAGCCUGG